AUUCAGAAUACAUUGGCUGUUUGAGCUACCACUUCAGAUAACGAGAGGGAGAAGAAACGCGAUUCUGUUUCUAUACUGGUGCAAUUUUCGGCCGAUUUUUGAGUGUCGGGCCAAUUUUUAGGGUUUUGGGCCGAUUUUUGAGUUUUUGGUUGACUUUCAAGUUUAUGGCCGAUUUUAGGAUUUUUAGCCGAGAUUAAUUUUUUUUACUGAAUUUAGAUAGGGUUAAGGGAGAGAUGAAGAAUUUGAAAUUCCUCAUAUUUUGAGGUGAUUUCAAUUACCCUAAAUCCUAUUGAGUAAAAUACCUCAUUUAAUUACUAGUAAUUUGAGAAUUCUCCACAUUAGAUAUCCAAACAAGGUAUUUUAAUUGAAAGGAUUUGAAAUACCCUCUAAAAUUACAUUCCCCUCAAAUAUUCCCCCAUCCAAACACAACCUUAGGGAUUUUGUUUUUCAAGAAUUGAUUUUUGGAUUCUUUUUCUCUUCUUCAUGAAUUUAUCAUUUAUGCUUUCCCCUUUAUCCAUCCCUGAAAGCUUUUUCAAUCGGGGGCGCUUCAAAUCCAAAGACAACUGCACCGCCUUUAAGGGUCUUCCAUUCUAUUGCUGCGCCCUCACGUUUACACCGUUUGAGUAUCCUGUUUGUACACCUGAUGGCAGCGUUUUCGAUGUUAUGAAUAUCACUCCUUAUGUUAUCAAAUAUGGUAAACAUCCUGUCACCGGAGCUCCGUCCGGAUCUCAUUCCACUCAAUUUCCACAAGAAUUCAGAAGAAGUCAAUUUCUGAGACUGAGCAUGCAAGGGAGUCAAUUUCUGUUUGUGGAGAAAAAGAUAGGCUAUUUAUGAAUCUAUACAUUCCUACUGCCUUCUCUCCUCCCCAGGGUUCCUCUCUACAUGGCUGUUUCUGAAUACUUAAGAAUUCACCAUCUAACUGCAUAUUGCAGCUUAUCUUUUGUAGACUUAUUGAGUAAAAUAUAAUUGAAAUUAUAUACAGCUAAAAAGUUGAAAUUAUCUAAUUUGGGUGUGUGUUUUUGUAUGAUAUAGUUGUGGUAUUCGCCAGAUUCACCACGUCGACCAUGGCAGACGCCACCGUGCUCUCCUCAGCUGGAUACCGCCACGACGCUGUUUGGGACUGGCUGUUGUGUUUUCACGACACAGUAAACCAAUGUGAUUGAAAGAUGGAUAAAGGAACGGAAGCUCAAUGUUAUCAGAAUGAAAAUAAGAGCUUAGAGGAAUGCAUAUGAUGGUUGAAAGAAGAAUAUGUAGUUCCACAUGAGAAAUAGAGGGAGUUGGGUUUUGUGUUCAGGUUCACAGCUACCACCCCAAGAGCAUGUUUUGUUGUGAGUUGACUUGGGACACAGCUUUUUCCUCUUCCCAAACGAGGAAUUUUUUGUGUUCUUGAAUGUUUUAAGAGUUCAUAUUUUGUAUGUGAAAGAGAAGAGAAAGACAAAGCAACAUAACAACCAAUGUUUAAUCACAUCUGAAAGAGCAAGAGAAAUAGCUAGAUAGUGAAUAUAUUAAGAGCAAUUGUUGUGGGUGUUUUGAUUUUUUAAGCUAUGGGUGUAUGCAUAUGCUGACACCUUUGAAUGCAUAGGAGAUGAUUAAAGGUAACUUUGUAAUUAUGAACCAUGGUGAAACUUUAAUGUCGGAUGAGAA
Long non-coding RNA from Lotus japonicus, 1644 nucleotides. RefSeq lists it as uncharacterized. The transcript has 6 exons. The record is from RefSeq and is a predicted model, not a curated record. Lineage: Eukaryota; Viridiplantae; Streptophyta; Magnoliopsida; Fabales; Fabaceae.